Molecule: ribosomal RNA, 373 nt
Filed under: uncultured organism
Description: partial 16S ribosomal RNA
Rfam family: Bacterial small subunit ribosomal RNA
Source: RNAcentral
GUAGGUGGCAAGCGUUGUCCGGAGUUAUUGGGCGUAAAGCGCGCGCAGGCGGUCCUUUAAGUCUGAUGUGAAAGCCCACGGGCUCAACCGUGGAGGGUCAUUGGAAACUGGGGGACUUGAGUACAGAAGAGGAAAGCGGAAUUCCAAGUGUAGCGGUGAAAUGCGUAGAGAUUUGGAGGAACACCAGUGGCGAAGGCGGCUUUCUGGUCUGUAACUGACGCUGAGGCGCGAAAGCUUGGGGAGCAAACAGGAUUAGAUACCCUGGUAGUCCACGCUGUAAACGAUGAGUGCUAAGUGUUAGGGGGUUUCCGCCCCUUAGUGCUGCAGCUAACGCAUUAAGCACUCCGCCUGGGGAGUACGGCCGCAAAGGCUG